GCAAGACUGUGGUGUGUGCUGGACGCUGCUGUUCUCUCUGUGUCCAGCUUUCGCUGUUCUCUCCUCUCUCCUCUCAGGUUUUCUGGUUUAUCACCUCUGUCGGAAAAAAGCUAAAGAACCUGAAGCUGAUCAGCAGAAACCUCAAACAAGACUGAAUCAGGAUGAAGAUGUGUGUUAUGCUGCAGUGGAAAUCCGUCAAGCGUCACAGAGACCAAAGAAGAAGAAAACCCAGAGUUCUGACUUCUGCACAUAUUCUGCCAUCAAUACAUCGAGGAUGUAGAGAGCUUAAAGAACAGAAAAGAACAAACAUUAUAAAUUAUAUAAUGAUGAUUAAUGAUGAAAGGUAUAAUUCAUUUGGGAUAAGUAUAGACCAUUCUGUUACUUAUCGCAGGGUGUGAUUUUCCGAGGGGAUGCGUGGGAUUUUUGCGAAGUGAACUCUUAACACUUAUUUUUGAGAUUAUUUUCCAUUGAAUAUUGAAGUGCAUAAAUACGUGUUUUGGCAUGGCUGGCUGAGUGGCACUAUAUCCAUAGUAUUGAAAAGGGUAAUUAAUUAUUGCAUGUUUUAUUUUGUUGUGCCCAAUCAAUCAAACUUUUUUCACAAA
This is a long non-coding RNA of Perca fluviatilis (European perch), 602 nucleotides long. RefSeq lists it as uncharacterized. The record is from RefSeq and is a predicted model, not a curated record. The transcript has 3 exons. NCBI's taxonomy places the organism in Eukaryota, Metazoa, Chordata, Actinopteri, Perciformes, Percidae.